Molecule: ribosomal RNA, 479 nt
Filed under: uncultured bacterium
Lineage: Bacteria
Description: partial 16S ribosomal RNA
Rfam family: Bacterial small subunit ribosomal RNA
Source: RNAcentral
GACGAACGCUGGCGGCGUGCCUAACACAUGCAAGUCGAGCGAAUGAAGUUCCUUCGGGAACGGAUUUAGCGGCGGACGGGUGAGUAACACGUGGGCAACCUGCCCCAUAGAGGGGAAUAGCCUUCCGAGAGGGAGAUUAAUACCGCAUAAGAUUGUAGUACCGCAUGGUACAGCAAUUAAAGGAGCAAUCCGCUAUGAGAUGGGCCCGCGGCGCAUUAGCUAGUUGGUGAGGUAACGGCUCACCAAGGCGACGAUGCGUAGCCGACCUGAGAGGGUGAUCGGCCACAUUGGGACUGAGACACGGCCCAGACUCCUACGGGAGGCAGCAGUGGGGAAUAUUGCACAAUGGGGGAAACCCUGAUGCAGCAACGCCGCGUGAGUGAUGACGGCCUUCGGGUUGUAAAGCUCUGUCUUCAGGGACGAUAAUGACGGUACCUGAGGAGGAAGCCACGGCUAACUACGUGCAGCCGCAGUAAUAC